RNAcentral lists this ribosomal RNA (236 nucleotides) under Alphaproteobacteria bacterium. RNAcentral's name for it is "partial 16S ribosomal RNA". It matches the Rfam family "Bacterial small subunit ribosomal RNA", at positions 1294 to 1533 of the family's 1533-position model. The record is from RNAcentral. Lineage: Bacteria; Pseudomonadati; Pseudomonadota; Alphaproteobacteria.
CGGAUUGCGGGCUGCAACCCGCCCGCAUGAAGCCGGAAUCGCUAGUAAUCGCGGAUCAGCACUGCCGCGGUGAAUGUGUUCCUGAGCCUUGUACACACCGCCCGUCAAGCCACCAAAGCGGGGGGCAUCCGAAGUCGUCGGAGCCGCACAGGCAGGCGCCGAAGAUGAGACCCGUGAUGGGGACUAAGUCGUAACAAGGUAACCGUAGGGGAACCUGCGGUUGGAUCACCUCCUUU